This is a long non-coding RNA of Zingiber officinale, 605 nucleotides long. RefSeq lists it as uncharacterized. The record is from RefSeq and is a predicted model, not a curated record. NCBI's taxonomy places the organism in Eukaryota, Viridiplantae, Streptophyta, Magnoliopsida, Zingiberales, Zingiberaceae. The transcript is spliced from 3 exons.
GCCGUUACCUGCGCCUUCUCCCCCUCGCGGUCGUUCUUCCCUAACCGCAAGCGGGUGGUUUCCUUCUCCCUCGCAUACAAAACCGUGGCCAAGGGAAGUCGCCCCUUUUCUCACAGAUUCUGCCCUAGGUGUCGACGUCGAGACCCCCUUCUCUUCCUCCUCGCCGAUCGCCAGCCACUCCUCACCGUGCCCUAGUCUUCUCUUUUCGUGCCGCCACCACAGCCGGCGCCGUACGGAGCAGCGCCGCUCCUCCCUGUGCCCUAGUUCACCACCACCGCCGCACCCUCUUUGUCGCCUCUCGACCCGAUCAGAGCCGUUUCUGCCGUGCCCCAGCCUUCCCUCCAGCCGACCGUCACAGAGUUUUGGAAGGAUUGGGAGGGGAUCAUCGGCCAACCACUAGGUGGUCGGAGGAUCUGGUCAUGAAGAGUAGUCCGCUGACCUUGGAUUGAGCUCCGGUCAUCUUUGUGCAUGGGCGAUCCACAGUUCUGGGCAUAAACUUCCAGCAACGAACACACACUGCGACUGUGGAUUAAGAAACGACAGUGAGGUGAAUUGAGGACUUUGAUGCGAGACGAGUAUCUCGACGUCAAAUUUGGAUUAGUUUG